GUCUUACUUACAGAUACGUGUCCGCUUUCUCUUUCUCCACCGUUUUGUUCUCCAAUCAAAGUGUUACAAAUUAUCAUCUCUCUCUCGAUCAAAGACUAUUCGCUACCUCCAACCGCUUUGCAAUUAUAGCAUCGUCCCUCUUUCCUUUUUUUCUCUAUCUCCACCCGAUUGUUAACUUCUACAUGUUCCUAAUUUUCCAGAUACCACCAACGGUGGCGCUUCUCUGAAAUCACAGAUUAAAUCCGAACCUCCUUCUCAGCCGAUAAUCAACAUAUGAUUGUGGGUAAUUUCUGAAAACGAAAAUUAGGGGUUACCUGUAUAAAAACCUUCGAUAGAGAGACGAAACAGGGCUAAUGACAUCGAUACUGGACGAGGUUGCUUCUGGUAUAGGUAUUUCUACUCAAACUCUAACUUUCCAGCACUAAAUCAAGUUUUUGUGUUAUCUUCGUUAUCAUCUUCAAGGAUCUUCCAACUUCUAUAACGCUUAUAAUCCUCCAACUUCCGUUUUUUGCUGCCGCCGUCGACAACAAACGAGGCCAAAAAUCAAGGCUUUCAGUUGGAAUCUAUUGGACUGCAACGACAAGUUCAAGCUCUCCAGUUGUUUCCUACCGACUGGAUUAGAAAGAGAGAGAAAUGGGGGAUCUGUAUCCGUUGGAUAUCGAUGGAGUUCUGUGUGAUAGCUACAGAGAGAGCUCGAUUUCUGCUGUUAAGGUAUCUUUUUCUAAUUCAGACACAGACACACACACACACACACACACACUCUUCUACGGUAAAUUGAGCUUUUUGUGUAAACGUAUAUGUAAAUUUACGUAUGUAAAUCGGUAGAAUUGAAAGAUUAAAUUGGUUCAGCUGACUGAGAUUGGUAUUUUUAAUCGACUGUUACCCCUAAUUUCUUUUCCGGUUUCGUUUUUGGAGUUGAGUCCGACAUCUAAAGGCUUGAAGACAAACCAUUGUUUCCCUACGAUAAUUUGGGUUGUGUAUAUUCAACUUUGUUUCCACAUCGAAUCUUAAUUUGUUGUUUUCGCUGUAAAAAGAUGUAGCAGAGCGAAGAAAGGGAGCUGUAGAGUACCCAUUUGCAGAAGAGAUUGACACACAUCAUUUGAAAAGGAAGGUUUCUGGUGUAAUUUUUUUAUCUUAUUCCUUCUCAGACUAAUGGGCAACAAAAAAGGGAGCCGAAAGAAAAUUGGUUCUUUUCUUUUUGUUCUUUUGCUGCUUAAUUCUCAAUUGGGACCAAUAUUUUGUUGGUUUGGUUCUUACUUUAUUAACACGUAGUUUGAAUCUAUGGUUUUAGUGUUUUCUGUGUUCUUUACACUUACUUUUUGCCUGAAAAUUCUAUAUUUAAUUAAGUUUUGGUAAAUAACAUAAGGGCUUCAACAUCAAUAAUUUAUCUGCAUAGUUUUUAUUAUUAAAGAUAUCUAUUUCAGUUGUUUUUUGUGAGUUUUGACAGUAUAAUCAACGAUUUUUUACAAGUGGUUGUUGAUGGGAAGAAAGAGAAAGUAUGUGAUCUUUAGGACAUCUUUAUGGAUAUCUAAUAUGAAAGGAAAAACAGGUGGAAGUAAAACUUUAGACUGGAGAAACCAAAAUUUGCAAGAGGACAUCAUAUAUGAUUGUGGAAAGAGCUUGAACCCUGAUGUGGAUUUUGGGACAUGUUGAAGAAGCUUUUAACGACAAAUAGAAAACUUGGACUUUAUCCUAAGAUGCAAUUCCAACAGGUUAAAUUUCAUACUAAAAUUUAUUUAUUAGUAUGUUACUUUUCAGUUAUAAACAUUGAUUUUGUAACUGAAAACAUUUAUUUGGAUUGCUAUUCCAUUUAUUUUAAAAAAUUACCAUUC
Molecule: non-coding RNA, 1832 nt
Organism: Lactuca sativa (garden lettuce)
Lineage: Eukaryota; Viridiplantae; Streptophyta; Magnoliopsida; Asterales; Asteraceae
Source: RefSeq, a predicted model, not a curated record